AUUAACGCUGGCGGCGUGCCUAAUACAUGCAAGUCGAGCGAACAGACGAGGAGCUUGCUCCUCUGACGUUAGCGGCGGACGGGUGAGUAACACGUGGAUAACCUACCUAUAAGACUGGGAUAACUUCGGGAAACCGGAGCUAAUACCGGAUAAUAUAUUGAACCGCAUGGUUCAAUAGUGAAAGACGGUUUUGCUGUCACUUAUAGAUGGAUCCGCGCCGCAUUAGCUAGUUGGUAAGGUAACGGCUUACCAAGGCAACGAUGCGUAGCCGACCUGAGAGGGUGAUCGGCCACACUGGAACUGAGACACGGUCCAGACUCCUACGGGAGGCAGCAGUAGGGAAUCUUCCGCAAUGGGCGAAAGCCUGACGGAGCAACGCCGCGUGAGUGAUGAAGGUCUUCGGAUCGUAAAACUCUGUUAUUAGGGAAGAACAAAUGUGUAAGUAACUAUGCACGUCUUGACGGUACCUAAUCAGAAAGCCACGGCUAACUACGUG
RNAcentral lists this ribosomal RNA (496 nucleotides) under uncultured bacterium. RNAcentral's name for it is "partial 16S ribosomal RNA". It matches the Rfam family "Bacterial small subunit ribosomal RNA", at positions 29 to 507 of the family's 1533-position model. The record is from RNAcentral.